RNAcentral lists this non-coding RNA (104 nucleotides) under Parvicella tangerina. Its description in RNAcentral is "SAM riboswitch aptamer (S box leader)". It matches the Rfam family "SAM riboswitch aptamer (S box leader)". Rfam says of the family: The SAM riboswitch is found upstream of a number of genes which code for proteins involved in methionine or cysteine biosynthesis in Gram-positive bacteria. The SAM riboswitch acts at the level of transcription termination control. The predicted structure consists of a complex stem-loop region followed by a single stem loop terminator region. Lineage: Bacteria; Pseudomonadati; Bacteroidota; Flavobacteriia; Flavobacteriales; Parvicellaceae. The record is from Rfam by way of RNAcentral.
AAUUUAUCAAGAAAGGUGGAGGGAAAGGCCCUAUGAAACCUUAGCAACCCUGUAAUUUUACAGAAGGUGCUAAAUCCAACCCAAUUUAUUGGGAUAGAUAAGUC